Molecule: ribosomal RNA, 130 nt
Filed under: Craterellus excelsus
Lineage: Eukaryota; Fungi; Basidiomycota; Agaricomycetes; Cantharellales; Hydnaceae
Also listed under: 3 other names
Description: 5.8S ribosomal RNA
Rfam family: 5.8S ribosomal RNA
About the family: 5.8S ribosomal RNA (5.8S rRNA) is a component of the large subunit of the eukaryotic ribosome. It is transcribed by RNA polymerase I as part of the 45S precursor that also contains 18S and 28S rRNA.
Source: RNAcentral
CAACUUUCAGCAAUGGAUCUCUUGGUUCUCGCAUCGAUGAAGAACGCAGUGAAAUGCGAUAACUGGUGUGAAUUGCAUCCAAGUAACUCUAAUUUACGAAUAACACCAAGUGAAUCAUCGAGUCUUUGAA